This 497-nucleotide ribosomal RNA is filed under the name uncultured bacterium. RNAcentral describes it as "partial 16S ribosomal RNA". It matches the Rfam family "Bacterial small subunit ribosomal RNA", at positions 28 to 507 of the family's 1533-position model. The record is from RNAcentral.
GAUGAACGCUGGCGGCGUGCCUAAUACAUGCAAGUCGAGCGAACAGACGAGGAGCUUGCUCCUCUGACGUUAGCGGCGGACGGGUGAGUAACACGUGGAUAACCUACCUAUAAGACUGGGCUAACUUCGGGAAACCGGAGCUACUACCGGUUAAUAUGUUGAAUCGCAUGGUUCAACAGUGAAAGACGGUCUUGCUGUCACUUAUAGCUGGAUCCGCGCCGCAUUAGCUAGUUGGUAAGGUAACGGCUUACCAAGGCAACGAUGCGUAGCCGACCUGAGAGGGUGAUCGGCCACACUGGAACUGAGACACGGUCCAGACUCCUACGGGAGGCAGCAGUAGGGAAUCUUCCGCAAUGGGCGAGAGCCUGACGGAGCAACGCCGCGUGAGUGAAGAAGGUCUUCGGAUCGUAAAACUCUGUUAUUAGGGAAGAACAAAUGUGUAAGUAACUAUGCACGUCUUGACGGUACCUAAUCAGAAAGCCACGGCUAACUACGUG